This 495-nucleotide ribosomal RNA is filed under the name uncultured bacterium. RNAcentral describes it as "partial 16S ribosomal RNA". It matches the Rfam family "Bacterial small subunit ribosomal RNA", at positions 28 to 505 of the family's 1533-position model. The record is from RNAcentral.
GACGAACGCUGGCGGCGUGCCUAAUACAUGCAAGUUGAGCGCUGAAGGUUGGUCCUUGUACCAACUGGAUGAGCAGCGAACGGGUGAGUAACGCGUGGGGAAUCUGCCUUUGAGCGGGGGACAACAUUUGGAAACGAAUGCUAAUACCGCAUAAAAACUUUAAACACAAGUUUUAAGUUUGAAAUAUGCAAUUGCAUCACUCAAAGAUGAUCCCGCGUUUUAUUGGCUAGUUGGUGAGGUAAAGGCUCACCAAGGCGAUGAUACAUAGCCGACCUGAGAGGGUGAUCGGCAAAAUUGGGACUGAGAAACGGCACAAACUCCUACGGGAGGCAGCAGUAGGGAAUCUUCGGCAAUGGACGAAAGUCUGACCGAGAAACGCCGCGUGAGUGAAGAAGGUUUUCGGAUCGUAAAACUCUGUUGGUAGAGAAGAACGUUGGUGAGAGUGGAAAGCUCAUCAAGUGACGGUAACUACCCAGAAAGGGACGGCUAACUACG